UACGGAGGGAGCUAGCGUUGUUCGGAAUUACUGGGCGUAAAGCGCACGUAGGCGGCUUUGUAAGUUAGAGGUGAAAGCCCGGGGCUCAACCCCGGAAUUGCCUUUAAGACUGCAUCGCUUGAAUCCGGGAGAGGUGAGUGGAAUUCCGAGUGUAGAGGUGAAAUUCGUAGAUAUUCGGAAGAACACCAGUGGCGAAGGCGGCUCACUGGACCGGUAUUGGCGCUGAGGUGCGAAAGCGUGGGGAGCAAACAGG
Molecule: ribosomal RNA, 253 nt
Filed under: uncultured bacterium
Lineage: Bacteria
Description: partial 16S ribosomal RNA
Rfam family: Bacterial small subunit ribosomal RNA
Source: RNAcentral